AUUGAACGCUGGCGGCAUGCCUUACACAUGCAAGUCGAACGGAUUCAAGAGGCUUGCUUCUUGAGUUAGUGGCGAACGGGUGAGUAAAGCAUCGGAACGUACCCAGUUGUGGGGGAUAACGUAGCGAAAGUUACGCUAAUACCGCAUACGCACUGAGGUGGAAAGCGGGGGACCGAAAGGCCUCGCGCAAUUGGAGCGGCCGAUGUCGGAUUAGCUAGUUGGUGAGGUAAAGGCUCACCAAGGCGACGAUCCGUAGCUGGUCUGAGAGGACGACCAGCCACGCUUGAACUGAGACACGGUCCAGACUCCUACGGGAGGCAGCAGUGGGGAAUUUUGGACAAUGGGCGAAAGCCUGAUCCAGCCAUGCCGCGUGAGUGAAGAAGGCCUUCGGGUUGUAAAGCUCUUUCAGACGGAAAGAAAUCUUUCGGGUGAAUAUCCCGGAAGGAUGACGGUACCGUAAGAAGAAGCACCGGCUAACUACGUGCCAGCCGCCGCCGUAA
RNAcentral lists this ribosomal RNA (500 nucleotides) under uncultured bacterium. RNAcentral's name for it is "partial 16S ribosomal RNA". It matches the Rfam family "Bacterial small subunit ribosomal RNA", at positions 30 to 523 of the family's 1533-position model. The record is from RNAcentral.